CAUGCCAUCAUCCAAUCCAAGGGUUUCGGUGUCAAACGCUAAACACAAGUAGUGUCUAAUGUGCCAAAUUUUUCUAGCGGGGACCAUUAUGAUAUUGACAAGCCAACAGCACUAGACCAGAGUGCAAUCUGUACAUGCUGCCAUGAUUUAUACAAUUACCAUCUUACUAAGCAAAGGAAAUUAGGCAACCAAAAAAAUACAAAAAGCGCAGAAAAAAUUGUUGAAUCUCAUCAUCUUUCAAGCGAAAUUUCUCAGGAUUCCUUUUCAGUAACACCUCAAUCCACUUUCUGGCAAGGGUAAUUCUCCCUAAUCACAUGUUUAUGAAAUGCUUAAUCCCUUGCCCUCUCAUCAGUUUGUUAUAUAUGUUGACAUUUAGCGAACCCACCUUUCCUUUUUCUUGCACAUGAGUUGGUGAGGCACACAUUUUCUUCCCAACUGGAUAGAUUUGUGUGCAUGGGAAUUUAGUUAGAAGAUAGAGAGAUAUAUAGGAAUCACAGGCAGUUGUAAAUUAGGGUUCAUUUUGAUGUUAUAGAAUUCAAUGUAAUUCCUCUGACGUUGCGGAAAAUACCAAUCCUAGAACAUCUGGAAUCUAACAGAAAGGAGAGAAAAUCGUCUAUGAAUCAUGUCGGUUGAUUCAUAGAUGGAAUUCUACAGCUCCAACUACUAUGAGGCUGGUGAUCUUGGUGAGUAUAAGUUAACCCUUAUGCUGAUACUCAUGAUCAUCAUGCUUCUCUAGAUCAGGGACCAAUAUCAUAUAAUUAUUCUAGCUAUGAGCCCCCUACCCAAAAUUUCUUUCAGUAUGAUACAACUCCAUCUCAAUACUAUCAUGCUUGUCAUAAUUCUUACACCAAACCUCUUUCCACUAUUACAACCCAAAUGUUUAUAACCCGAGUUAUGAUAAUGAAGUAACUCAGUUUAUGAUCUUUUAUUCCGUUUCUUUCGAGUUUAAUGAGCCCGAAUUUGAAGAAUAUGAUCCUACAACUUAUGAUGGUGGAUUUGAUAUCGCCCAAAAACCUACGGAAAGCCCCUUUUGCCUUCACUUGAAACUUGUUAUCCACGUUCUUCUGGGCCUGCUGCCUUAAAUCCCUCCUCUUUCGAUGGUGUCACUGAUGGCUAUCGUGCCGUUGAGUGGUAAGCAAGAAACUGCUGAGCAAGCACCAAAACCCAUAAAUGGAAGUGAACUGAUAUGGGCCGUUGAAGAAGAGAAGCAGCUGUAAGGAGUAGUCAAUCUAAGGGAUAUUCUCUUGACAUGUGUCAUAAGAUUAGGCAAUUAGUUAAGGGUUUGUUAUAUCUGUUAGCUUAGUCUGUAAGCUACCUUAGUUACACAUAUAUAUACUACAAUGUAAAUGUACUGUGUAAUGUGUGUAAAAAGAUUAAUACAAACAAGAUUACUUCUCUCUCUAAGUUCUCUCUCUCUAUCUCUCUCUCUCUUUCUAUCUCUGUAUUCAUCUUCUCUACUACAACAGAUCAUUCUUGCUUAACAUGGUAUCAAUCGCCAUUUAAGCUUCAUCAGCUCUCUCACCGGUACAAGUGUAUAGACUUGACGGUUCUUCGAUCUUGGAAUUUUUGCUUCCGUUAUUACUUCAAUCUUCUCGUGUUCUCUUCUUGUUCUUCUAUCGCAAGUUCUUUCUUUCUGCUUUAGGGUUCUGUAUCUCUAAUUUUGGAAUAUUUUCUUCGUUGCAAGUUGUGCACACCAACUGUUUAUGUUUUGUUCUCUGUACAUCAUUUUCUUGAAGAUUCAACAAUGGUGACCGCCAAUCAGUAACAGAUAUUGCAAUCCUAUUACUUCUCUAAUUUCAUCGGUCUCAACCUCUGAAACCAUGAAAUUGGAUGAUACAAAUUACUUGACUUGGCAUUUCCAAAUGCAACUUUUACUGGAAGGUCAUGGAAUUAUGGGGGUUGUUGAUGGUUCAACACCAUGUCCAUCUCGGUUUCUUACUCCAAAUUCUGGUGAUACCGAACUCUUUCCUGGACAACAGUCUGAUAAGUCUUGUGCUUGCAAGGAAUCUGAUGAAUAUAUGGUUUGGAGGAUGCAUGAUAGAGCAUUGAUGCAGCUUAUCACAGCUACUUUAUCACCACCAACCAUUUCCUGUGCCAUUGGAAGCACAAGUGCUCAGGAUCUGUGGACUCGUCUCAAGGAACAAUUUUCUACUGUUACUCGGACAAGCAUAUUUCAUGAAAUCUGAGUUGCAAACUAUCAAGAAAGGUACUGAUUCCAUUAAUAUGUAUCUUCAACGAAUCAAAGAAGCUAGGGAUUAUUUGUCUGAUGCUGGUGUCUAUUUUGAAGAUGAUGAUAUUGUGAUCCUUACACUUAAUGGUCUACUAUCCGAGUAUAAUACAAUCAGGUCUGUGAUAAGGAGGCGUGAAUCUGUUAUUUCUCUUAAAAAUCUUCGGUCAUAAUUGCUUGCUGAAGAAGUGAGACUAUUCAUCCUGCUCUAAUGGUUAAUGCAUUAGUGGCUCAUUCACCUAAUUUUACUCAGAGACCUUCCAAUGUUCAGUCUCAGGCACAAUCUGGUCGGCCAUACACUUCCUAUAACUCCAACUCUGGUUACAAAUCUUUCACCAAUAAGAACAAGGGCAGAUUUAAUUCGAAUAAUAGGUUCAAUCACUCAAAGCAAGCUUUCAAUAAUGGUAAUCCUGCUUCUGGAAUCCUUGGUGCUGCUCCACAGUCUGGCCAUCCUCCUGUCAUCCCUUGUCAAAUUUGUGGGAAAACAAAUCAUUUGGCUGAUACUUGUCGAUUCAGAAAUGUAUCUCAAGGGUGUCAAAUUUGUGGCAAGAACAAUCACAUGGCUGCUACUUGCAGAUUUAGAGAUGCAUCUCAAUCUCAUGGUUGUCAAAUAUGUGGGAAUCCAAAUCAUAGUGCUGAGUUCUGUUUUUAGAAAGGAUCCUCUCCAAUGACUGCAAUGUAUGUCAACAAUGCUUCUGGGAAUUCAAUAUCAACUUCAUUGCCCUUUGCCCCACCUCCACAAGUUUGGAUUACUGAUACGGGUGCUACAAAUCAUAUGACCAUCGAUUUGAAUAAUCUUUCUCUCGCUACAUCAUAUCCAUCUCAUGAAGUCACACAACCAAUGGUGAAGGUUUAUCCAUCUCUUAUAUUGGCUUUUCCACUCUUCAAACUCCACUACAGUCAUUUCAAUUAAAAUCUAUUCUCUAUGUUCCGAAGUUGACACAAAAUUUGCUAUUUGUCCAUCAAUAUGUUUGGAUAAUAAUUGCUGGUUAAUCUUUGAUGCCUUUUGUUUCUGGAUUCAGGACAAAACCACAGGGAGGAUUUUGUACAAAGGGCAGUGCCGUAAUGGGUUAUAUCCGAUCAUUUCUCCAUCAGAUCCAGUUUCAACACAAAAGGCUUAUGUGGCUGCAUAUCUUGGACAACAAGUUACAUCCAGACUUUGGCAUCACCAAUUAGGUCAUCCCUCUAAUACCAUUGUAUCUCAGAUUCUUCGAAAAUCCAAUGUCUCUCAUACCCCUGAUUCGUUACCUAUUGUUUGUUCUCCAUGUCUAGAAGGCAAAUUUAGUAAACUUCCCUUUCCCGUGUCUUCAUCCAAAUCUGCAAAACCUUUUGAGAUAAUACAUAGUGAUGUUUGGGGCCCGACUCCUUGUAUUUCUAUUGAAGGCUUCAAAUACUAUGUUACUUUCAUAGAUGAGUGUACUAGGUUUUGUUGGAUUUUCCCAAUAUGCAAUAAAAGUGAAGUUGACACUACUUUUGUCUAUUUCUAUCACUUUGUUGUCAACCAAUUUAAUGCUUCUAUUAAAAUGUUUCAGAGUGAUGGUGGAGGGGAAUAUAUAGGCAAAUCCUUUCAAAAAUUUUUGGUAGACAAAGGCAUUAUUCACCACAUGUCUUGUCCAUAUACCCCAGAGCAAAAUGGGCUUGCCGAGAGGAAACAUAGACACAUUAUUGAGACGUCCAUUACCUUAUUACGAACAGCUUCUUUACCACCUUCAUUUGGUCCUAUGCUUGUCAAGCUUCGGUCUAUCUCAUUAAUAGGAUGCCUUCUUCAACUUUGGAAAAUAAAUCACCUUUUGAGGUCUUGUUUAAUUCCAUUCCUGAGAUUAAUCAUCUUAGAGUAUUUGGUCGUUCAUGCUAUCCUUUGCUUAGACCUUAUAAUCAUACUAAACUGCAACCUCGAACUUCCAAAUGUAUUUUCUUGGGGUAUGCUUCAAAGUAUAAGGGUUAUAUCUGUUUUGAGGUUCACAAAAGAAGAGUGUUUAUAUCUCGUCAUGUUCUAUUUGAUGAGACAAAAUUUCCAUACAUCACUCUAGUUUCUCAAUGCUCCAAAGUAUCUACUCCAUUGCCCAUCAAUUUCACAUUCACACCUGUGUUCACCCCAAAUCUUAAUAAAGUUCUUGUCACACCUCAGUCUAAUUCUGUGCCUACUAUACCAUCAGUCUUUCAUCCACCAAGCCUAGCUUAUGUGCCUCUAUCAGCUGCUGUUAGUUCUCCAGAUUUGCAUGUUCACAGUUCUACUACGGUACAUGAUUCAAGCUCCAGUUUAUCUACGGACACUCUACCCAUUACUGGCACUGCACAGCAAUCCUCUCAUUCCCUACCUGUGGUUCCUGAAUUUCAGGGAGAACAACUUCAAGUGGUUUUGUCUAUACCACCAUUAAACAAUCAUCCUAUGCAGACUCGGUCCAAGAAUGGCAUUUCUAAAAAGAUGCUCUACUAGCUUCUGUUCAUGAAAAUGGGGGUACUGAUCUUACCCAGGUUGAACCUGCCACAUAUAAAUCAGCACUCAAAUCUCCAGAAUGGUUGGCUGUAAUGCAAGAUGAGUUGAGUGCUCUUCAUACACAAGGAACUUAGUCUCUUGUACCUCUUUCUCCUCACAAAAACUUGGUAGGCUGCAAGUGAGUGUUCAAGAUUAAAAAGAAUGUAGAUGGUUCUAUAGGGAGGUAUAAGGCUCGUUUGGUUGCAAAGGGGUUCAAUCAAGAGGAAGGUAUAGACUAUGGCGAGACAUUUAGUCCCGUGGUUAAAUCAACCACUGUGAGGUUAAUGCUUUCUUUGGCUGCUCAUUUUAAUUGGGGUCUUCGCAACUUGAUGUGAAAAACGCUUUUCUGCAUGGUGUCUUACAAGAGGAAGUCUAUAUGGCUCAACCUCCUGGUUUUCUUAAUUCCACACAUAGUGACUAUGUUUGUAAGUUACAUAAGUCCCUAUAUGGUCCCAAGCAAGCCCCAAGGGCUUGGAAUGACAGAUUCACUAGUUUCUUGCCAACUUUGGGUUUUCAAUCCACCUAUAGUGAUUCCUCUUUAUUUGUUAAAGCUGUGAAUGGUACAAUUGUGAUUCUCCUCUUAUAUGUGGAUGACAUUAUCAUCAUGAGGAAUGCAUCUCAAGCAAUAUCAGAUGUUAUACAUGCUCUUACUCAAGAGUUUGAUAUCAAGGACCUCGGACCAUUGCAUUACUUCUUUGGUAUUCAGGUUGUGCAUAAGAAGGAUGGUUUAUUCCUCUCUUAGGACAAAUAUGUUACUGAUUUGCUUAUUAAGUCUGGAAUGGAGUUGUCUAAACCGUGUGCUACUCCUUGCCUACCUUACAAUAGGUUGUUGAAGGAUGAUGGGAAGCCUUACAAUAAUCCAGCUUUAUAUAGAAGCCUUGUAGGCGCACUCCAAUACCUCACCUUUACUCGACCUGAUAUUGCAUUCGCUGUGCAUCAUGUUUGUCAGUUCAUGCAGUGUCCUAUGUAAGCUCACUUUGUGGCAGUUAAACAAAUUCUGAGGUAUCUCAAGGCUACUAAAGGGUGUGGCCUUCAUUACAUCAAAUGAGGAUUGGAUUUACAAGCAUUCAGUGAUGCUGAUUGGGCAGGAGAUCCCAAUGGCAUGAGAUCAACGAUAGGGCUAGUUGUUUUUCUUAGCUCAAACCCUAUCUCAUGGUCCUCCAAGAAACAACAUAAUGUCUCUCGCUCUUCUACUGAAGCUGAAUAUCGCGCACUGUCUUCAACGGCUGCUGAGAUUGAUUGGAUUAAACAAUUGUUACAGUUUCUGCAAGUUCCUGUUUCUGGACCACCUACUCUAUACUGUGAUAAUCUCUCAGCCAUUGCUCUUACGUGUAAUCCUGUCCAAUAUCAGCGCACAAAACAUAUUGAAAUUGAUGUUCAUUUUGUGCGGGAACGGGUGGCAAAACAGGUGCUGUUGGUCCAAUUUGUUUCUUCACUUAAGCAGUUUGUUGACAUAUUCACUAAGGGCUUGUCUGCACCUUUGUUCAAGACUCAUUGUGACAAUCUCAGACUCAGUUUCACUGUCCCUGAGUUUGAGGGGAGAUGUAAGGAGUAGUCAAUCUAAGGGAUAUUCUCUUGACAUGUGUCAUAAGAUUAGGCAAUUAGUUAAGGGUUUGUUAUAUCUGUUAGCUUAGUCUGUAAGCUACCUUAGUUACACAUAUAUAUACUACAAUGUAAAUGUACUAUGUAAUGUGUGUAAAAAGAUUAAUACAAACAAGAUUACUUCUCUCUCUAAGUUCUCUCUUUCUCUCUCUCUCUCUCUCUGUCUCUCUCUCUCUGUCUUUGUAUUCAUCUUCUCUACUACAACAGAUCAUUCUUGCUUAACAGCAGCACCAAGAGAGCAUAGAAGAUCAGCCAAGCCAAGUAGAUGAAAACCAUAAUCGAGUAGAAGAAAACCCUAAUCAAGUUGAGAAAAGUGAAGAAGUUGUGCAAGGUAGUUAUGAACAUGAGAAGGAAGUGUAUAAUCAAGUUCCUAGUGGGUAUGGAUAUUAGGGAAUAUUAUACGAUAUUAUAUGUAAAUAUCUUGUAUUAUAUUUACCUAAAUAGGUUUGAGUCAAAUCCCACUAAAUAUGGGUUACUGUUCCCUAGCCUUUAAUGUAGGGUUGAAUAGUUGACUUGUUAUGUAUAUAUUGUACAACAAUGUAAUAAAUGAAGCAUUCAAUCUGCCAUUAUCAUAGCAUUUUCAGUGUUUAGUCAUUUCAACAUGGUAUCAGAGCAUAAAGUUCUGGUGCCUGAUUGCCUACGUUUUCAACUCUCAUCCUAUUUCCAAACAUCAUGUCAGACACACUUGCUCAACCAUCACCACAAAAACAUCAAAAUAAUAGCAAUAUCGGCAUGGAUUCAUCAAGUCCAUACUACGUUCACCAUUAAGAUAACCCUGGUCAUAUGAUCGUUUUCAGAAAAAUUGAAUGGACCCAAUUAUCCAUCUUGGAAUAAAUCCAUGAUACAUGCUCUCACAGCCAAGAACAAAAUUGGCUUCAUCGAUGGCUCCAUUUAGCCUCCCUCAACAACAGACCAAGCAAAAGAAUAUGCUAUUUGGAAUCAAUGCAACAGUAUGAUUUUGUCAUGGCUUGCUCAAUCAGUCGAAUCCGAUUUAUCUAAAGGAGUUGUUCAUGCCAAAAGUACCCAAAAAGUGUGGGAAGAUUUCAAAGAUCAGUUUUCACAGAAGAAUGCACCAACAAUCUAUCAAAUUCAGAAAUCAAUCGCAUCUCUCUCACAAGGCUCCAUGACAGUCUCGGCUACCUUAAAGGCCUUUGGGAUGAAUUAGAGACAUAUCGACAUCUUCUUAUCUAUGAUCAGACAAAGGCACAUAAUGAGCAAAUAGAAGAAGAUCAGAUGAUGCAAUUUCUUAUGGGUCUCAAUGAUGUCUAUAAUGGAGUUCGCAGUAAUAUCCUUAUGAUGACACCAUAGCCUAAAGUUCGUCAAGCAUAUUCACUUAUCAUUCAAGAUGAAACACAACGACAAAUGACAUCGGGAUCAACCGAAAAUUUCUUAAUCGUUGCUGCAGUCCAAAGUCGAUCAAACCAUUCCUCUGAUAAUUUCAAGAAUCUUCACUGCGAAUAUUGUGAUAAAGAUGGGAACAUAAUUGAAAAUUGUAGGACUCGAAAAUAUUAUUGCAAGUUUUGUGACCAAAGAGGCUGAAACACCCCAACCCUCUUUUAUAUUUUAAAAUUGUUUUAAAGCCUUAAUUGGUGAGCCCGUGGGGCCCACCUUGUUUAUUUUUUUAUAUGUUUUCUGAUCUCUCUCUUCUUCUUCUUCGUCUCUCCCUCCCGUAGCUCACUCCUUCUUAGCUCUCCCGUCUCUCUCUCCCUCAACCUUUCGCAUCUCUCUCUUCUCCUGGACUCACUAGGAUCGAGUCACCAUCGAAGAGAGGCUCGCAACGAACCCCGAACCCUGCCCUGCGAGUUCGACGACACGGAGUAAGCUCCGGCGAGCACCGCCCCUUUCGAGGCCAUUUCCGGCCAAACCACGGCGAGUUGGCCGGCGUUUAAGGUAUCAAUCUCUUCGUCUCGUCGAGUACUACAACUUUCCUUUUUGUUUCACUUAAUUUCGUUAAGUAUUGAAGAAGUUAUACUCAUUUGAAUCUUAUCCAGUUUCCGGCGAGUCCGACGGCUUUCGAGGAAUUUUUCGGCCAAACCACGGCGAGUUAGACGUCGUGAGGUACCAUUCUCUUCGUCUCUUCAAGGGCUACAACUUUCAUUUUUGUCUUGCUUGAUUUCGUUGAGUAUUGACAAAGUUAUGGCCAUUUAAAGUUGGGUGGUUUUCCGGCCGAAAAUUCCGACCUUCUCCUUCGACAAACCCAGGCCAUCCGGCCUUUCCCUCUCCCUCGGGCCUUAGGCCCGUGUUGCCUUAGCCCAGUACCCUAGCCCAUUCAGUUUUUAUUUUUAGUUAUAUGUUUUUAAAACCCAAAGGGCUUGGGCCCUAGUUUUGGUUGGCCUUGGGCCGGUUUUCAACCAAGGGCUUAAAGCCCUGAUUUCUGUAGGAGGCCUUAGGGCCUUGUGUAGUGUGUGUGUGUGUGUGUUAUAGUAUAUGUAUGUGUUUGGGCUAUAUGUAUGUGUUUGGGCUUAAACCCAAACCCCUUUCCUAACCCUAAACCAUUUUAACCCAAAACCUUAGAAAUCCAAACCACCCAUUUUAACCCUAAACCCUUUUAACCUUAGAACCCUAAAUUCAAAACCCAAUAAAUCCUAAUCCUAUUUAACCUAAACCCUAAUCCGGAUUUCAAGCCUAAAACCCGUUAGACCUAAUUUGACCGUUGACCUCCGGUUAACAUUGACUUUAGAGUUGACUUUUCGGGUUUUCGUCCGGGACCCUUCUUAGGGUAAUUCGACGUUCUGAAUCCGUUUCCAACGUCCGUUUUCCCAAAUCCAAUUGCUAUUAUAUAGUUUUAUUAAUUGGACCCUUUAUGUGCUUAGGGGCAAUUAUUGGUGACGUUAGUUUGCGUGGCUCUUCGGCGGCUAAGUACUGUGAGUGGACCCCUUCAAAAGCAUGUUUUAAUAGUAGAAAUGCAUACAUGAAAUGCAUGAUUUAAUGAUUACGUUUUAUGAAACGUUUUGAGAUAACAUGCUUACUGAGGCUACCUUGAAUUAUUACUAUUUUUCCUAUAACCCGUGUUCUUAUAGAAUAUCUGAUGGAUGACGAUAUGAUAUUUAGAACAUGUUUCGAACACCUCUUUAUAGUAUAGAUGAUGAAUGACUUUAUACUAUGAAGUUGUUUUUCAAUAUAUGUAUGUUCAAUGGUUUUGUACUUACCUAGUGGUCCUUUCCGCUACGGGACGUAGGGAUAGAUUCCGGUCCGUCCCGGGCGACGGUUUUUGGUGUUGGCAUAGGGCCUGGAGUGUGUUUCCUCUGGCUAUUUAGCACAGGGACGGGGAGCCGGCAUGGGGCCUGAAGUGUAUUUUCCUCUGACUGUCUGCUCAGAGACGGGGAGCCGGCAUGGGGCCUGCAGGUUAUCGGACAAUUCACUAGUGAUUAUUAUAUAUGAGUUAUGAUUUGAGAUACUGCACAUCAUGCUAGGUUUCGGAAAACCUAUGUUCAUCAUUAUAUAUUUGUUUUCAUAAACCUGGGGGUUAGUAUAUUGAUAACUGUUUUAUUAUAUAUAUAUCAACUUGGUCCACUCAUGUUUGUUUUGCGCCCCCUUCAGGAUUUAGGAUCGAGGCGUACAAUCCCGACAAUCAAGGCACUUCCGCAUCGGCAUCUUCGAGUCCUCUUGGUGUGGGACUCAUUCUUUUAUUCAUUCCAUUUUAUAUCAUUCUUUUAGUGUUCUAGUUAGUUGUAUGCUCUGAACACGUUCCUUAAAUGCAUAUUCCUUAUUCUUUUACAUUUGUAAGUUUUAUCUAUCCUUUAUUUUCAGCAAUUGCACUCAAUAAAUGGCUUUCGUCACCCUCGGGUGUCGGCCAGCACGUGACCAUCCUGAUAUCCCGAGGAUAUCGGGAUCGGGGCGUGUCAGAUUGGUAUCAGAGCGUGGUUUGUUCAGAGCAUACUUAGGGUUCUUUUCUAUUAUCUUAAAGUGUUGGUUUUGACAUCAUUUGGAUGUCACGACUUCCGGAUUUUAUGCUAGUCGGUGCAGUUGUGUGAAUCUCUCUCUGAUUGAAUUGUCACCUUCUUGUUGAAAUUCAAGAAUUCGUGUCGGGAUUGUGCCUCAUCGGUGACGUGUUUGAAUCGUUGGACGACUUUCAGCAUCGGAUCGAUACUCAGCGACGUGUUUUAGAAAUCUCAAUUUGAGGAAUUCUGGUUAAGACCAGCUGUAGAUUUGAAAUGGCGAUGCACUCUGCAACAUGCGUUCCCUAGGAAUUGCGGGCGGAGUCGGCUCUACAUCGAAAUCUUGAGAAACUCCUCAGUAGCAGACGUUAUUCUCAUCAAUUUUCAAAUUGAGUUGCAAUUCUUGUUGUUGUUGUAGUUGGAUUUGGAUGAUGAAUAUCCAGUUUUGUUUGGAUAAACAGAUUCCUUGAAUUUCACCUGGGUUGGGUACCUGGUGGCAAACCCUAGUUCCUCGUCCGCGUACUUUUUGGCGAAUGUGAACUUAGUCUAUUGCUUGCAGCCUAAAUGUUCAGUCUUGUAAUUUUCGUUGUAAUGGCUUGAGACUCUACCAUGUUUAUCAUUGUACGAAGAUCGAACUUUACUCUAAACUUCUCUGGACUCAUUGAGCUUUGGUUUGCUCAAGAGCAUCACUUUAAGGUAGCCAAUCGUGUCACUGCAUGCAUACGCAGGUUGCUUUGUAUCUUUCUUCUUCGUCAUUCUGCUGAUUCAGAGGUUCUAUGUUUAAUUUCUGAACUUUGAAACAACUCUCACAUAGUAUUGUGAAUCUCGUAAUGUUUUUGACCUCGUCAAAUCUUAUUAUCAGUUCUUAACUAUCCUUGAGCUUAGCCCUAUUUCCUUUUGGCUAAGAACCAGUUGACCAUACUGUGAUGAUUUGCAAAAUAAUCAGAAACAAUGACUCUAUUUCUGCAUCUUUAUCUUCCUUCGCUUGUUGGUUCUCAAUGUAAAAUUGAAUCAUGCCGGAACAAUAUGAGCUUGUUCUUGGCGUGGUUUCUGGUUCAAAUCCUGAUUUCUUGUAAUCUAUCUUUUUAUGGACUUGUUUUGAUCCUCAAAUUCUUGAGUAUUCUUUUAGCCUUCUCGACAUGGUUUCUCGCCUAACCAGUGAGAAAUUCACAAUCGAUCGUUUCGGUGAAAGUGGGCACCCAGUUCGUGUUGAUUCGGACAUGAAUGUUGGGAGCAUAAUCUUUUCACAAGCUUACCAGACUUACCAUAAAGAAUUCCAUGUGGGUAUGAGGUUUAAGCUGUAUUUUGGUAAGAGACUGGUGAAGAUUUUGGUGCAGAAGGUCAGCAUAUUGUAUCACCAUCUUACUAGAAUUCAUAGGCAUCACAUUGGUUAUUUUCCAACUAUAUGUGUUCGUCUCGACGCAUAUUUCCACUGCUUCAUUUCUGAACCUUAUUAUUGUGAGUACGUGGUUGUUAAAACAUUUCUAGCAGAUAUGUUUGGUGCAUUCUGAGAUGGCACUACAGGACGGUCGAAGCGAGAAUUGGAUAAUCUUUACACUUCUCUCGAAAUGUGCGUGUUGUCUUUGGUUGUUAGGAUGACCAUUUGCGAGUCGUUCUUCUUCCACCAACUUUGAUCUUGUUUGACUUGAAAUCUGCAACUAAGCAAAAAUGGAGAGGUGGAUUGAGCACCACAACAGUUCGUAAGAGAUACUGCGUGUUGAGGAAGAUGACUUCUCGUUUUCUGCUUGCUUGAUUUGAGCUUUUGGGUCUACUACUAACAUGGUAGCCACUUCUCUUGAAUCCCAAGGUACAAUUUUCAAAUGGGUUCCUUACUGGUGAAAUUCUGAAGUAGUUGGUCACAUUUGGAAGAACUGAGGAGGAUAGGAUGCUUGGUGCUGGAUAGAGUGUUACGACGACAGUUUCUGUUUUGUUCGGUUUGGUGUAUGGUACUUUUUACGACCUGGUACGAUAGUUUUUCAUGGAAAACACUGGUUGACUGAAAAGUCUUGCGAACUUGUAUUUGGAGGAUCGAUCCUACGAUAUGUGAAAUUGUACACCAUUUGAGAAAUUACUACUUGCCUAUCGAGACAACAAAUGUGAGGUCGAUAUUGCGGGCUGCAGACUGUGAUAUCGAUAGCUUAUUUGGUGGGUUCGUUAAGCAAGUGGGGCAAGAAGAUUCGUCUACAGCAGCUGAUGCAGAUUCAGAAUUUGUAUUUCUUAGGACUCGACCUAAAGGCACAUCUAUUCUCGGAAUAUAUGACAUUUCGAAUUCUUGGGCGAGACCCACUCUCAUUUUUCAGUUUUGAUUUUCAGUAUAAGUAUUUUGAACUCCCUUUACUCUAGUUAAUUGUUUUGGCGUUACAAAUGUUUUUGGAAAAGUAUUUAUGUUUUCAUUUUUAAGUUGAUUCGAGUUUUUGAACUAUAUGUUAGUACAUAUCUAUUUUGACGUUAUCUGGCCUUAAGCUAUUUUGUGUUUUCAACUUUAUAUUUUAUUAAAAUAUGUGUUUUAUUUUUACACUGAUGGAAAAAAAAAAAAAAAAAAAGUUUGAGCCUGGAGGCACGAAAGAUGGAAUCAUUGCAGCCGAUCGCGACGGCGUGGCAUUUUCCCUUUUGUGAAACCGCUCUUACCUGAUCUUUUCGUUACAUAUAUAUAUAUUAUUCUUCUUCCUAUUUUCAAGUAUUUUCGGUGUAGUAUGUUGUUUUAAAUUUCGAGGACGAAAUUUUUUUAUAAGGGUGGUAGAUUGAAACACCCCAACCCUCUUUUAUAUUUUAAAAUUGUUUUAAAGCCUUAAUUGGUGAGCCCGUGGGGCCCACCUUGUUUAUUUUUUUAUAUGUUUUCUGAUCUCUCUCUUCUUCUUCUUCGUCUCUCCCUCCCGUAGCUCACUCCUUCUUAGCUCUCCCGUCUCUCUCUCCCUCAACCUUUCGCAUCUCUCUCUUCUCCUGGACUCACUAGGAUCGAGUCACCAUCGAAGAGAGGCUCGCAACGAACCCCGAACCCUGCCCUGCGAGUUCGAUGACACGGAGUAAGCUCCGGCGAGCACCGCCCCUUUCGAGGCCAUUUCCGGCCAAACCACGGCGAGUUGGCCGGCGUUUAAGGUAUCAAUCUCUUCGUCUCGUCGAGUACUACAACUUUCCUUUUUGUUUCACUUAAUUUCAUUAAGUAUUGAAGAAGUUAUACUCAUUUGAAUCUUACCCAGUUUCCGGCGAGUCCGACGGCUUUCGAGGAAUUUUCCGGCCAAACCACGGCGAGUUAGACGUCGUGUGAGGUACCAUUCUCUUCGUCUCUUCAAGGGCUACAACUUUCAUUUUGUCUUGCUUGAUUUCGUUGAGUAUUGACAAAGUUAUGGCCAUUUAAAGUUGGGUGGUUUUCCGGCCGAAAAUUCCGACCUUCUCCUUCGACAAACCCAGGCCAUCCGGCCUUUCCCUCUCCCUCGGGCCUUAGGCCCGUGUUGCCUUAGCCCAGUACCCUAGCCCAUUCAGUUUUUAUUUUUAGUUAUAUGUUUUUAAAACCCAAAGGGCUUGGGCCCUAGUUUUGGUUGGCCUUGGGCCGGUUUUCAACCAAGGGCUUAAAGCCCUGAUUUCUGUAGGAGGCCUUAGGGCCUUGUGUAGUGUGUGUGUGUGUGUGUUUAUAGUAUAUGUAUGUGUUUGGGCUAUAUGUAUGUGUUUGGGCUUAAACCCAAACCCCUUUCCUAACCCUAAACCAUUUUAACCCAAAACCUUAGAAAUCCAAACCACCCAUUUUAACCCUAAACCCUUUUAACCUUAGAACCCUAAAUUCAAAACCCAAUAAAUCCUAAUCCUAUUUAACCUAAACCCUAAUCCGGAUUUCAAGCCUAAAACCCGUUAGACCUAAUUUGACCGUUGACCUCCGGUUAACAUUGACUUUAGAGUUGACUUUUCGGGUUUUCGUCCGGGACCCUUCUUAGGGUAAUUCGACGUUCUGAAUCCGUUUCCAACGUCCGUUUUCCCAAAUCCAAUUGCUAUUAUAUAGUUUUAUUAAUUGGACCCUUUAUGUGCUUAGGGGCAAUUAUUGGUGACGUUAGUUUGCGUGGCUCUUCGGCGGCUAAGUACUGUGAGUGGACCCCUUCAAAAGCAUGUUUUAAAUAGUAGAAAUGCAUACAUGAAAUGCAUGAUUUAAUGAUUACGUUUUAUGAAACGUUUUGAGAUAACAUGCUUACUGAGGCUACCUUGAAUUAUUACUAUUUUUCCUAUAACCCGUGUUCUUAUAGAAUAUCUGAUGGAUGACGAUAUGAUAUUUAGAACAUGUUUCGAACACCUCUUUAUAGUAUAGAUGAUGAAUGACUUUAUACUAUGAAGUUGUUUUUCAAUAUAUGUAUGUUCAAUGGUUUUGUACUUACCUAGUGGUCCUUUCCGCUACGGGACGUAGGGAUAGAUUCCGGUCCGUCCCGGGCGACGGUUUGGUGUUGGCAUAGGGCCUGGAGUGUGUUUCCUCUGGCUAUUUAGCACAGGGACGGGGAGCCGGCAUGGGGCCUGAAGUGUAUUUUCCUCUGACUGUCUGCUCAGAGACGGGGAGCCGGCAUGGGGCCUGCAGGUUAUCGGACAAUUCACUAGUGAUUAUUAUAUAUGAGUUAUGAUUUGAGAUACUGCACAUCAUGCUAGGUUUCGGAAAACCUAUGUUCAUCAUUAUAUAUUUGUUUUCAUAAACCUGGGGGUUAGUAUAUUGAUAACUGUUUUUAUUAUAUAUAUAUCAACUUGGUCCACUCAUGUUUGUUUUGCGCCCCCUUCAGGAUUUAGGAUCGAGGCGUACAAUCCCGACAAUCAAGGCACUUCCGCAUCGGCAUCUUCGAGUCCUCUUGGUGUGGGACUCAUUCUUUUAUUCAUUCCAUUUUAUAUCAUUCUUUUAGUGUUCUAGUUAGUUGUAUGCUCUGAACACGUUCCUUAAAUGCAUAUUCCUUAUUCUUUUACAUUUGUAAGUUUUAUCUAUCCUUUAUUUUCAGCAAUUGCACUCAAUAAAUGGCUUUCGUCACCCUCGGGUGUCGGCCAGCACGUGACCAUCCUGAUAUCCCGAGGAUAUCGGGAUCGGGGCGUGUCAGAGGCCACACUGAAGACAGAUGUCGAAUAAAAAAUGGGACCGAUGGCUCUAGUCUUGGGGGAAACCAAGAUAGGAAAUACAUCAACAAGUCAUACUCCCAUGGGUCUCAUAACAACAAUUCACGUGUUGCCUUUCCUACUGCAAAUGCAGCUGCUACAUCCUUCUCUCUUGCUGCCAACACAGCACAUGGUCCUCAUCUUGCUACCACUACAUCAGUUGCCCCUUCCCAAUCACACAUGUCUCAAUCAAAUGCUCUGCAAGGGCUUUCAGCAGAACAUCUUCAACAGUUGGCCCAAGCUGUAUCCAUGAUAAAUUUAAACCAUACUUCUCCCUUUUCAAUAAAAUCGAACCUUCACCUAUAUCUACUGUUAAAUUACCCACCGGCUCUUCAGCCACAAUCACUUCCGCCAGCACCAUACCGUUCAAUUUCGAUAUCACAUUAGAUAAUGUUUUGUGUGUUCCUUCUUUUCACUUAAAUCUCAUGUCUGCUAGCCAAGUCACUGAUUCUCUAAACUAUUGUGCCAUUUUGUUUCCCACCUUUUGUGUCUUGCAGGACUUGGCUACGGGGAAGAUGAUUGGAUCGGGUACGCAACGUGAUGGUCUUUAUUAUAUGUCGCCGUUGCAACGGAUGCCCAUCUCCUGUCAAGUUUCCCACUCCACCAAUUUAUGGCAUAUGCGACUUGGCCAUCCUUCGCCUACUCGCCUUAAAUUAGUAUUUCCCUCGUUAUUCUCGAAUAAUAUUUCUUUUGAUAAUAAUUGUAACAUUUGUCCCAUAGCCAAACAAACUAGACUUCCGUUUCCUUCAAGUUUUAUAUCCACUCAUAAUCCAUUUGAUUUACUUCAUUAUGAUAUUUGGGGACCUCAUAAAAUUCCCACGCAUUCAGGAGCUCGAUUCUUUCUCACCAUUGUGGAUGAUUUUACUAGAUGCACAUGGAUAUUUUUGAUGAAAUAUAAAUCUGAAACGCAAGACCUUUUAAAAUCGUUUAUUACCUUUGCUCAUACUCAAUUUCAUGCCAAAAUUAAAGCCAUACGAGUCGACAAUGGGUCUGAAUUUUUGUCCAUGAAAGUUUUUUUCCAAACCAAUGACAUUGAAUAUCAACGCACCUGUGUCUACACCCCGCAACAAAAUGGGGUUGUCGAACGUAAGCAUAGACACAUCCUCACCAUUGCACGUAGCUUACUAUUUCAAUCUCACUUACCCCUUUCUUUUUGGGGCGAAUGUGUUUCCACUGCUGUCUACCUCAUUAAUCGAUUACCAUCCCCUUUGUUAUCCAAUAAAUCUCCUUUCGAAUCAUUAUACAAGUGUUCACCAUCUUUUGAUCACUUGAAAAAUUUUGGUUGUUUGUGCUUCUCCACUAUUGUUCAUCCCACAUACAAAUUUGACCCUCGUGCUAGGCGUUGUAUUUUUGUUGGUUACCCAACUGGUCAGAAGUGUUACAAACUUUAUGAUUUGGAGUCUAAAACCUUCUUUGUCAGUCGUGAUGUUAAAUUUUUUGAACACACAUUUCCUUUCCACUCUAUGUCCCCGUCACCCCCUGAGGAUAUCCCUGCCAUACCGUCCAUUCCCAUCUCAACUGACACACUUGACCUCUCCCACAUGGCCCCCCAUAACCCUUCCAUUCCACCACUCACGGACCCUACCCACAUUCCUAUUUCACCUCCCAUCACUUCUUCCACCCCAUCUCAUCCUGAAGCCAUCCCAUCUUCUCCUGGACCCCACCUCUCCAUCAAUCAUCCUUCACCCCUCCAUCACAUUUCUAACCCCCCAUCAGACUCUCUCCUUCCCUACACCGAACCUACCCUCCAUUCCCACCCCAUUCCGUCCGAUACUUCUUCUCCUCUCGCCACAUCAUCCUCUCCACCCCCAUGCCAGUCCCAUCGUCCUAAGCAACCUCCGAUUUGGCAUAAAAACUAUCACGUUACUAAUCAAGUCAGUCAUUUUCCUUUGCAGCCUCGUGUUCCCUCAGGUACUCGGUAUCCUCUUUCUAAUUUUCUUUCCUACUCACGUCUUUCUCCUACCCACUGUGCUUUUCUAGCUACCAUUACAAGUUCUAUCGAGCCUACUUCAUAUGCUUAGGCUAUCCUUGAUCCCAAUUGGCGACAGGCUAUGCAUGUUGAAUUAGAGGCUUUACAACACAAUAAUACAUGGAGCAUGGUUCCCCUCCCUGCUGGUCAUAAACCUAUUGGAUGCAAAUGGGUUUAUAAAAUCAAAUACAAGUCUGAUGGUACCAUUGAGCGGUACAAGGCUCGUCUUGUUGCAAAAGGAUACACUCAAGUUGAGGGCAUCGACUAUCAUGAAACUUUUUCUCCUACUGCCAAACUCACAACUCUCCGCUGUCUCCUUACGGUAGAUGCUUCCCGUCAUUGGUUCGUCCAUCAAUUAGAUGUUCAAAAUGCCUUUUUACAUGGUGAUUUGCAUGAGCUUGUCUUUAUGGAACAUCCUCCUGGUAUUCGCCGACAGGGAGAGAACGUUGUAUGUCGGCUCAACAAAUCUCUCUACGGACUCAAACAGGCUUCUAGAAAUUGGUUUUCCACAUUUUCAGCUACUAUUCAGAAAGCUGGCUAUCAACAAUCAAAAGUUGAUUAUUCUCUUUUUACCAAGGCUCAAGGUACUUCAUUCAUUGUUGUCCUCAUCUAUGUAGAUGACAUACUUCUUACAGGAAAUGAUCUUCAAGAGAUGGAACGACUCAAAACAUUUCUCCUCACACGCUUCCGCAUCAAAGACCUUGGUGAUUUAAAAUAUUUUUUGGGGAUUGAAUUCUCUCGUUCUAAAAAAGGCAUUUUCAUGUCUCAAAGAAAAUAUGCACUAGAUAUUUUGCAGGAUUCUGGGCUUACGAGGGCACGUCCAUACAAGUUUCCAAUGGAACAAAAUUUGAAACUUGUUGAUGCACAAAACCGGAUGUCUUGGAACAACGUAAAUCCGACCGUGAAUCUGCAAGUAAUGUAAAUGACACAAGAGUUAUCGUGGUUCACCCCAAGGUUUGGGCUACGUCCACACUGAAUAUGUAUUUAUCUGAGAGUAUUUGUGAGAGAAGGAACUCUGUGAGUGAAGAGCUUUGAGAGGGGAUGAGAAGGCUCCAGAAAUUGGCCUCCGAGAGUGAGAGUGAGCUCCCCUUAGAAUGAGGGUAGGAGUCCCCUUUUAUAGAAUAAGGGGCUCCUCCUCCUUUACAAAGUAUGGGCUUUAGUGUGAGGCCCAAAUACAAGGCCCAAGGCCCAAAUAUACGAGGCCCUAAAUAUGGUAUAAACAGUAGUCCCCCAAGUCUUCAGUCAAGAGAGUCUUUUGGCUGGAGACUUGAAAUUCAGUCCAUGUGUGGGCCGAAGUAACUGAUGCUCGAUAUGAGGCGGUGCCCAAUCUGAAAUGAUGCUCAACUAGAAGUAGCACAUGCUGUGAGGCUGCUCGGCUCGUGGCUUAUGUUGCCUUGGUUAGCUCGACUUGCGGCGUUUAAAGGUGAGGGAGUCCCUUUUAUAGAAUAAGGGCUCGCUCCUCAAUACAUGAAUGAUGGGCUAGAGUUGAUGCUCUCUAAUGAUGGUGAGGGAGUCCCUUUUAUAGAAUAAGGGUUCACUCCUCAGUACAUGAAUAAUGGGUGCUCUCUAAUGAAAGUGAGGGAUUCCUUUUUAUAGAAUAAGGGCUCACUCCUCAAUACAUAAGUGAUGGGCUAGAGUCCCCCAAAUAUUUUUCAUGAGGCCCAGUUGAGGCCCAAUAUAUGGUACAUAAUGUAGUCCCCCAAGUCUUCGGUCAAUAGAGUCUGUUGGCUGGAGACUUCAAAUUGAAUCCAUGUAUGGGCCGAAGUGGCGGUUGUUCGGAGGCGGUCUUUGUAGACCAUGCACUGAAGCUUUGUAAGUGAAGCUUUGCAAGUGAAGCUUUGCAAGUGAAGCUUUGAAGCUAUAGCUCUGUAAAUGAAGUCUUUGAAGCUAGAGCUCUGUAAAUGAAGCUUUUGAAGCUAGAGCUUCUUGUAAAUGAAGCUUUUGAAGCUAGAGCUCUUGUAAAUGAAGUCUUUGAAGCUAGAGCUCUGUAAAUGAAGUCUUUGAAGCUGAUUGACAUGAGUGAUGCUCAUGAAUGUUUAUGUUGAUUGACAUGAGUGAUGCUCAUGGAUGUUGUCAUGAGUGAUGCUCAUGAAUGUUGACAUGAAUGAUGGUCAUGAAUGUUUAUGUAUGAUUAUCAUGAGUGAUGCUCAUGAAUGUCUAUGUAUGAAUGACAUGAGUAAUGCUCAUGUAUAAUUUGGAGUACUUGGCGUACUUUUGAUCGCCUGGUUGGAGCUAUUUUGGGCUUAUGGGUUUUCGCCCUCUACACAACAUUCCAGCCCAUUUACUUUGGGCUUUGCCCCUUUUUUUUUUCUUUUUUACCCUCUGAUGGGGUUUAUACAGAUGUCAUUUCUCACUUGUUAUGACUGAUACAAGAUUAAUCCCUUUCCCACUUGCAAAUUUGAAUGCUGCUUCCUCCGUGAGAAUCUUCAAAAGUGCAUAAACCCAUCCACUUGCUUUUCUUGUUUUUGUUUCUUUUUUUUUUCUUUUCACUUUUGCUUUGCACUGUGUCUGUCUUUUACUUUCUUCUUUUUCGACAAGAUGAUGGACGGAAAUGAAGCUUUUGAAGGAUGACCCCUGCUUCGAGUGGUGUCCCCGUGCUUUUGCAUGUUUAUUCCUUGCUUUUCUUUCUUCUUUUCUCUUUUCCUUUUUUCUUUUGCUUUCUCAGAAAAUGAAGAUGCAUGAGAUGGGUCAUUGAUCUCAUCCAGCAGGUUGUCUGCAGCAUACAGAGCAUUUUUUAUUUGAAAAACCUGUCGCUGUGGAUGUCAUUCUUUUGAGAAAGCAAGCACUCGAGAAUGCAUUCCUUGCAAAAGACGUGGCCUUUCUGGCAGCGCAUGGGGUCGAUGAAGGGUUUGAGGCAGAGGCAGCAGGCGUCGAAGGGCUUGAUGGAGUCUCUGUCGAGCCAUUCCCUCUGGGUUCCAUAGCUGAGCUUCUUCUUCUCGUCGUAGGUGAAGAAAGCGAGGUCGUUGUUGUUCUUCGAGUGCUUCUGCGACAUCUUUUCGAAUUGAAUUAAAAUCUACUCUUCUGAUCGUGGAUUUUAAUUUUUCGAAUUUUUGAUUAGGGAGAAGUCAUCCGUAGCUGCUUUUGCUCUGAGCUGGAGAAAUGCUCUACUACUGAGUCAACCCGCUCACCGAGUCAUCCUUCACUGUUUCCUCAGACAGCAAUUCACUGUCGACAGAAAAAUUCACUCGACAACGGGUCCGCCGAAUCACGACAGAUCUUAUUGAAUUGGGCCACUGAUCUGCUCGCUGAGUUCAGCUAUUGCUUGUGGUUAAUUAGAAUUUGAACUCGUGAUUUCAGUGAAAUGGAUCGGCAGGCGAUGACGGUUGGGCUGGCCAUGGAUACAUCGAUCAUGCACGAUAGCGACCGGUAUGAUUUCGUCCGAGAUAUUGGGUCUGGAAACUUUCAAGGUCACCAGGCUGAUGCGGACAGGCAGACUAGGGAACUCGUCGCCGUCAAGUACGUGGCAAUAAAAUUGAUGAAAAUGUUCGAAGAGAGAUAAUAAAUCAUAGGUCUUUGAGGCACCUGAACAUCAUCAGAUUCAAGGAGGUUAUUCUUACUCCUACCCAUCUGACCAUUGUGAUGGAAUAUGCUUCUGAAGGAGAUGGCAGACGGCGGCGCUGGUAUGCGCGUCUGUGCAUGAGGAGAGGGUUUGGGCGAUGCAUCCUCGUCGCCGAAGUCUGCCAUGGGAAUGAGAAGCUCGCGAUCUCACGGUUCUCUGUCUCUGCUCGCCAUUACAAUCGAUGAUGACGACUUCUCAUCGCCCAUCACCAGCAGACCCCUAAUUGAUAUACGACGCCGUUCCAACGCCGCAACGCGGGGCCUUUUUUUUUGUCGAAUAAUUUUGGCACCGACGAGUAGAGAUCGGAGCUCAGCUUCCUCUCUUCGGAUGACUUGGGUGCCUCCUGCAAGCCCGAGCCAGCCGAAGAACAUCGGGUCCUGAAGGGGCUGGUGCUACUGAUGGGUGCACCCUUGUCGGGUUUGGGAUCGGGAAGAGGAAGACGACAGCGGAUCUUAUGCGGUGGACGAGAGAGGGAGUGGGAGUGAGUGAGAUCAUAAUCUGGAAUUUGGAUCUGGAAUCGUUUGUUUCUCUUUGUUUUGGGUUUUUGUGAUUUUGCAGAUUCACGGUGGAGGUGAAAAAUGAAAAAGAACCGACACAACUUUUCGUAUCGAUUCCCACAGACGGCGCCAAAUGUUGAUGCACAAAACCGGAUGUCUUGGAACAACGUAAAUCCGACCGUGAAUCUGCAAGUAAUGUAAAUGACACAAGAGUUAUCGUGGUUCACCCCAAGGUUUGGGCUACGUCCACACUGAAUAUGUAUUUAUCUGAGAGUAUUUGUGAGAGAAGGAACUCUGUGAGUGAAGAGCUUUGAGAGGGGAUGAGAAGGCUCCAGAAAUUGGCCUCCGAGAGUGAGAGUGAGCUCCCCUUAGAAUGAGGGUAGGAGUCCCCUUUUAUAGAAUAAGGGGCUCCUCCUCCUUUACAAAGUAUGGGCUUUAGUGUGAGGCCCAAAUACAAGGCCCAAGGCCCAAAUAUACGAGGCCCUAAAUAUGGUAUAAACAAAACUCACUCCCACUGAUGGAGCUUUGUUAGAUGAUCCCACCAAGUACAGAAGACUAGUCGGACGAUUGAUUUAUCUUACUGUCACCAGGCCUGACAUAGUCUUUUCAGUUCGCACAUUGAGUCAAUUUAUGCAUGAGCCCCACAAACCUCAUUGGGAUGCAGCUUUACGAAUUCUCAGGUAUAUCAAAGGCACUCCUAGUCAAGGCUUGUUAUUCUCUGCCUCUGAUAAUCUUGAGUUAAAGGCUUUUUGUGAUUCUGACUGGGGAGGUUGUCGUGCAACUAGAAGGUCAGUUACAGGGUAUUGUGUUUUUCUUGGAAAUUCUCUCAUCUCAUGGAAGUCCAAGAAACAAGACAAUGUUUCCAGAUCGUCUGCAAAAGCUGAAUAUCGGGCUAUGGCGAACACAUGUUUAGAAUUAACUUGGUUGCGCUAUAUAUUGCAAGAUUUGCAGGUUCCGCAAAAGGCUCCCAUACCAUUAUUUUGCGACAAUCAAGCCGCCCUGUAUAUUGCAGCUAAUCCCGUUUUUCAUGAGCGGACAAAGCAUAUUGAAAUUGAUUGUUACAUUGUUCGAGAAAAACUGCAAGCUGGAAUGAUUAGUCCUUCACAUAUUCCCACACGUUUCCAGUUAGCAGAUUUAUUUACUAAGGCCUUGGGGAAAGAUCACUUUGAGACAUUACGCAACAAGUUGGGACUUCAUAACAUUCACUCUCCAACUUGAGGGGGAGUAUUAGGAAAUAUUAUACGAUAUUAUAUGUAAAUAUCUUGUAUUAUAUUUACCUAAAUAGGUUUGAGUCAAAUCUCACCAAAUAUGGGUUAUUGUUCCCUAGCCUUUAAUGUAGGGUUGAAUAGUUGACUUGUUAUGUAUAUAUUGUACAACAAUGUAAUAAACGAAGCAUUCAAUCUGCCAUUCUCAUAGCAUUUUUAGUGUUCAGUCAUUUCAACAAUGGAUUGGAAGCCAUGGAUAUUUGUGAGAGUUUGUUUGGGUACUGGCCUUGCCUUGCUCGUGAUUUCAAGAGAGGCAAUGGAAAUGGUGAUUCUUGCUAUGAAUUUGGUAGUGAUGAAGGAAGAUAUGGAAAUACAUUGAAAUGAACUGCAGAUUGUCUUUUCGGAAGCUCAAAUUCGUAUGGUGAAAUAAGGGAUGAUGGAAACAACUAUUUACAGUAGGCAGGGUUGAGCAUGAGGAGGAUUUACUGAUGGGUAAAUUGAAGAUGUUUUGGAGAUUGUAAGAUAUCUGGCUUGUGGUUGUCCACAACUUUUUCAAGUCAGAGGCUUUGAUUGUGACUUUGUACGAAUGAAUAAUUAUGUUGGACAAAACCUUCUUAAUCAAUACUUGGUAUAAAUUGUUCAAAAAAAAAAAAAAAA
Molecule: long non-coding RNA, 23179 nt
Filed under: Malus domestica (apple)
Lineage: Eukaryota; Viridiplantae; Streptophyta; Magnoliopsida; Rosales; Rosaceae
Description: long non-coding RNA (MDOM_LNC009738)
Source: RNAcentral